CAGGACAUACUUUAUUCAGCUGGGUGCUGAAAAAGAAUCUUGGAAAUUAGGAAACUGAAUGAGGCCUCAUUUCACACUCAGAAUGUGGGUUGCAAUAGUCACUUCCUCUGCUGCUGGGAAAGAAAGAAUUAUACUACCUUUUGAAUUUUGGAUUAAGGAGAGAGGUGUUGGCUUGUCAAACUACCAUGUAUUCCUCAAGACAUAUUUUUGUGGCUUUAUAAAAUUCAAUAUAUAUUUCUAAAUUCAAAUAUAUUUUGUUGCAAUCUGGCCCUUGGACAAACUGAGGCCCUAGCAACUGAUGUGUAUGGCUUUCCAUAGAACCUUUCAGAUAAAAUUUACACAGCAUUUUACUGCAGCUAUUUCACACAAAGCAGAGGAUUUUGCCACAAAACUGAAAGAAAAAAGAAACUGCAUUCUUAAAUUUUUUAUAAAUCAAAAGGUAUAAAAAUAUCUACCUAAACGAUAAAGGAGAGGAGAAACCCCACCCGUGAUGGGAAGAAAGCCUAUUUCAGUUUUGCUUUUACUUCAAGUUCUUUUUUCCAUAUCUGGAAAGCAAUCGGAAUUUUAAUCUUGCCUUGGGUUCCUCCUGGAUUUGGGGAGAAGAUAAAACCUGAAAAUCUCUAAUCUGCAUGUGUUCAGCUGCGUAUCUUCCGGAUACGGAAGGAUCACACUGCACAGAGUGCUGGACUUGCAGGAGCCCCGCUUCUCAACCUCCAUCGCUUUAUGAAUGAAUUCACCAGAAAGAAAAGGAAGAAUCAACACUUUCAGAGAUGGAGCCUGUUGAGCCACAGUACCAACUAGUCGAUGCUGAAUCCGACUUCUCCCUUUCUACAUUGCCUGAGAGAAGUCACUGGGGAAUACUCUAGAGUCAAGGGAUUGGAUUGUGGAUUGCAUUGGUGGUUUUCCUCAGUUUCCUCAUCUUCUCCACAAGUUUCUACACAUCAAAUGCAGAGCAGCCCUUCUUCAAAGGACCUCCUACAGAAGCUGCUAAGGAACUCAGUCUGUAGCUCUGCGUGGAGCCAUGUGUAAACACUGAACCGAGGCCUGCCACCUCCUACUACCUAAGGGCCCAUUUUCAUCUGAUAUCAUCCCCCAGAAACAAACUCAUGCUGACUUCCAUGUUUUUUUUAGAUUAGAUACAUGGAGAAUUUUCCUUUCCCUUAGAAUUAAAAUCCUGCAUUCUAAUUUUCA
RNAcentral lists this long non-coding RNA (1191 nucleotides) under Pan troglodytes (chimpanzee). RNAcentral's name for it is "lincRNA". Lineage: Eukaryota; Metazoa; Chordata; Mammalia; Primates; Hominidae. The record is from RNAcentral.